Harmonia axyridis is the source of this 350-nucleotide long non-coding RNA. RefSeq lists it as uncharacterized. The transcript is spliced from 3 exons. The record is from RefSeq and is a predicted model, not a curated record. Lineage: Eukaryota; Metazoa; Arthropoda; Insecta; Coleoptera; Coccinellidae.
CUCCUAUAUGCUGUAUGCAAUCCGCAUAUACCUAUGGUUAUAGCCCGGCUACGGGUGCAGGGUGAUGUGACAGUCAUUUGUCGUGUUCGACAGCCCCGGGCUGCUUUUGAAGAGAUAUAUCAACAAAAAUUCCAUUAUGUGCUUUCUGUUCUUCAGGAUUAAAAUGGUGUUGGACGUUUUUCGGAAAGUGCGGUUGUUUUCGGGAGUGCGUUCAGUGUCGCGCUGGGACGGACAGGUCCGCGCAGUUGAACAGACGCGUCGUCGACGUCGUCCUCAGGGCGUCGUCUCCGUCGUUCGGGCCGUCGAGCUCCACGUGGGGGUUCCGGUCGCCGCCGUUUUCGAGGCAACGG